UACGUAGGGGGCAAGCGUUGUCCGGAAUCAUUGGGCGUAAAGCGCGUGUAGGCGGCUUGGUAAGUCCGCUCUGAAAGCCCGGGGCUCAACCCCGGGAGGCGGGUGGAUACUGUCAAGCUCGAGUCCGGAAGAGGCGAGUGGAAUUCCUGGUGUAGCGGUGAAAUGCGCAGAUAUCAGGAGGAACACCUAUUGCGAAGGCAGCUCGCUGGGACGUUACUGACGCUGAGACGCGAAAGCGUGGGGAGCAAACAGG
Molecule: ribosomal RNA, 253 nt
Filed under: uncultured bacterium
Lineage: Bacteria
Description: partial 16S ribosomal RNA
Rfam family: Bacterial small subunit ribosomal RNA
Source: RNAcentral